This 497-nucleotide ribosomal RNA is filed under the name uncultured bacterium. RNAcentral's name for it is "partial 16S ribosomal RNA". It matches the Rfam family "Bacterial small subunit ribosomal RNA", at positions 28 to 507 of the family's 1533-position model. The record is from RNAcentral.
GACGAACGCUGGCGGCGUGCCUAAUACAUGCAAGUUGAGCGAUGAAGCUUGGUGCUUGCUCCAAUUUGAAGAGCAGCGAACGGGUGAGUAACGCGUGGGUAAUCUGCCUUUGAGCGGGGGACAACAUUUGGAAACGAAUGCUAAUACCGCAUAACAACUUUAAACAUAAGUUUUAAGUUUGAAAGAUGCAAUUGCAUCACUCAAAGAUGAUCCCGCGUUGUAUUAGCUAGUUGGUGAGGUAAAGGCUCACCAAGGCGAUGAAGCAGAGCCGACCUGAGAGGGUGGGCAGCCGACAUGGGACUGGGACACGGCCCAAACGCCUUCAGGAAGCAGCAAGAGGGAAACGUCGGGCAGGGGCGAAAGUCUGACCGAGCAACGCCGCGGGAGGGAAGAAGGUUGUCGGGUCGGAAAACUCGGUUGGUAGGGAAGAAAGUGGGUGAGAGUGGAAAGCUCAGCAAGUGACGGUAACUACCCAGAAAGGGACGGCUAACUACGUG